CCUACGGGUGGCAGCAGUGGGGAAUAUUGCACAAUGGGGGAAACCCUGAUGCAGCGACGCCGCGUGCGUGAAGAAGUACUUCGUUAUGUAAAGCUCUAUCAGCAGGGAAGAAAAUGACGGUACCUGAGUAAGAAGCCCCUGCUAACUACGUGCCAGCAGCCGCGGUAAUACGUAGGGGGCAAGCGUUCGCCGGUUUUACUGGGGGGAAAGGGAGCGUAGACGGCAGUGCAAGUCUGGAGUGAAAGGCGGGGGCUCAACCCCCGGACUGCUCUGGAAACUGUACGGCUGGAGUGCAGGAGAGGUAAGUGGAAUUCCUAGUGUAGCGGUGAAAUGCGUAGAUAUAAGGAGGAACACCAGUGGCGAAGGCAGCUUACUGGACUGUAACUGACGUUGAGGCUCGAAAGCGUGGGGAGCAAACAGGAUUAGAUACCCCUGUAGUC
Molecule: ribosomal RNA, 440 nt
Filed under: uncultured bacterium
Lineage: Bacteria
Description: partial 16S ribosomal RNA
Rfam family: Bacterial small subunit ribosomal RNA
Source: RNAcentral